GUCCAGGGAGACGAUUUAACCACGGUCACAUGCUGAGCAGCCACAGAGCUGGGACCUGGCCCUGGGUCUCCUGACUCCACGGGCUGUGUGAUGUGUACAUACAGGAUCAGACCUUGCCCUUUCCUUCUAGCUGACCCUUUCCUAGCCCCCCAUGUCCCAUGUGUGAGCACCCAGCUCGCUCUCGUUUCUCCCUCUCCAGAGUGUGGUCCCUGGCAGCACGAGUGGGAGAAGGGACAGCAGAGACUGUGGAACCCUCAGCUGCAUCUAAGUCCUCUGUGUGGUCUAGCUGUGUGUGCUUGGGGAGGCUUUUGGCCACCAUUUUCCCCUCUGUAAAUGAGACCGAUGCCUGUGGCAUGGAGGGCGGGAGGCAGGUGUGAGUGCCAAGCACUUGGAGCAGGGCCCUGAGUGAGCAUGGACAUGGGAGGAGGUGUUCCUCGACUUUAUAUACCUUGGGGUUGGGAGCGGGGCUCCCUGUGUGGGUGGACAAGGCAUUGCUUUUCCCCACCCCACCUCUGUCCCAGCCCUGCAAGUCAGUCCUUGGGGGUCUAGGAGGGAAGAAGCCCCUGGCUGUGUGACCUUGGGCUGGUGCCUGGCCCUCUCUGGCUCUGAGUUCCUGGGAAAGUCAGCACCCAAGGAACACCCUCCAGUUUAGCACCUUGACAAGAAGGGUGGGGACACUGGGAUCAGGCCCACCCCUUUGGUCCCAAACCCCUUGGCCCCAGCUGGAGGAUGAUGAGACACUGGGCUUGCAUGGGGGAAUCGGGUGUAAAGGGGCCUGUUCACCCCUCAGCUUGGCUGAAAGGCUCAAGGCAUCAAAGGCUCAGCCUGCCCCUCAGGAAGGAGCCCGGGCCCAGCCAGACACUCACCAGGACAAGGGCAACUGUGACGAGCAGGAGGCCCAGGAUGAGGAGAGCCACGGCAUAGUUGGAGCCUCGUGCCCUCAACCCCAGAACCCUGGUCUGAGUCCUGGGUCACCCAGGACCACCCUGGACCCACUGGAAUUCCUCCACCACCACUUGGUCAAAGUUCUGCAGAGGUCUGAGGACAAGGGUCAGCUCGGGGGUCAGGAGAGGAUGAAGAGGUUCACAGCUCUACCAGACGAAGCCUCAUUCCUUGUGGUGCCCGGCCCACCCCUCUGAUGUGGGCCCUAAACCUCCAGCUGGCCCAGCCCUGCAGAGUAGGUGCCCAAAGGCAUCUGUAGCCAUCCCUGUCAUGCUGGUCUCCCCCAGGGCCCCUUCUGGAACCUGUUACCACAGAUCUCACGGUGGGGGGUACAGCUCAGUCUCCUUCCUUCUCAUCCCCCUCCUAGGGGCUUUGUCCACCAAGGCCCCUGACUGCUAGGGGACCCACACCCAUGGCCUCCUUCUUUCUGACUGCUGGCCCUUUCACAGCCUGGAUACUUGAGCCCUGGGCAGAGGGGUAAUGAUCCCAGGACUGUCUUCACAAGCAGAGAGGGUACUAGGACCUGACUCCUUGCGCUGAGCUGAGCAGCAGGCAUGUCACCAAGGCCCCCUUGGCAGAAGGGGCUUAGUCCUGACAGCCAAUCACUCACCAUCCCUCAAUGUUCCUGCUAGGCAUCCACCCUGGGGACCCAGCUUUCCCCCUGCCCCCAGCUGCUGGCAGCCCCAUCUUGACUCAUCCAGGGUCCUGGAGGCCACUCC
Molecule: long non-coding RNA, 1661 nt
Filed under: Cercocebus atys (sooty mangabey)
Lineage: Eukaryota; Metazoa; Chordata; Mammalia; Primates; Cercopithecidae
Description: lncRNA (ENSCATG00000045799.1)
Source: RNAcentral